AACGAACGCUGGCGGCAUGCCUAACACAUGCAAGUCGAACGAAGGCUUCGGCCUUAGUGGCGCACGGGUGCGUAACGCGUGGGAAUCUGCCCUUUGGUUCGGAAUAACAGCUGGAAACGGCUGCUAAUACCGGAUGAUGACGAGAGUCCAAGAAUUAAUGGCAGAGGAUGGGGCCGCGGUGGAUUAGGUAGUUGGUGGGGUAAAGGCCUACCAAGCCGACGAUCCAUAGCUGGUCUGAGAGGAUGAUCAGCCACACUGGGACUGAGACACGGCCCAGACUCCUACGGGAGGCAGCAGUGGGGAAUAUUGGACAAUGGGCGCAAGCCUGAUCCAGCAAUGCCGCGUGAGUGAUGAAGGCCCUAGGGUUGUAAAGCUCUUUUACCCGGGAAGAUAAUGACUGUACCGGGAGAAUAAGCCCCGGCUAACUCCGUG
Molecule: ribosomal RNA, 432 nt
Filed under: uncultured bacterium
Lineage: Bacteria
Description: partial 16S ribosomal RNA
Rfam family: Bacterial small subunit ribosomal RNA
Source: RNAcentral